Molecule: unclassified non-coding RNA, 1550 nt
Filed under: Helicoverpa zea (corn earworm)
Lineage: Eukaryota; Metazoa; Arthropoda; Insecta; Lepidoptera; Noctuidae
Description: uncharacterized LOC124630462, transcript variant X1
Source: RNAcentral
CACUAUUACAGUCAAGAUUGAUGAGGAGUUAAAUAAAACCAUUUUAAAUAACAGCUGUCACACUUAAUUGUACUUAUUUAAGCCAUUUACGUUCUUAAAUUACAAGUCCUUCAUUUAAUAUUAUUUAUUUUUUAAAUAAAAUAAUGUCGUGUCUAUGUUUAAAAUCUAAAAGAAGCAGGGGCAGAUAGUGCUCGGAACGUUUUUUCAUGUAACUAUAACUCAACCAAAUCUAAAAUGUUACCUUGUCCCUUCCUAAAUUGCGGCAGCACGUGUUUUUUAAUUUUGUUGGUUUAUAAUGUCAUCUAUCUGCGACUGUCAAUUUGACAUAUUGUUAUUCACUUGUGGAUACUUGUGAAUGCUACGCCUUGUUUCGUUGUUAUUGUUGAGUUUUCGUGGUUUAGUUGUUAUUUGUUACUGUUUUUCUGUUUGUUAUUGUUACUAUAUUAGUGUUACGUAAUUUUGUGUUGUUCAUACAAAGCAGUACAUUUUGUUGAACUAUGAACACGGACGAUCUCGGUGCAGGCCCGAGUGGCUUGCAAGCGCAACAUGUACGUACUGAAACUGCUAGUGACGCUGAGCAACGUCAACAGCCAAAACGACGUGGCCCCAAAAUUGAACACGACGUUAAAAUAUUGUCUCCCAAGAAAAAGCGAUCAAAGCAAACACCUCUUCAUUCUGCAGAAAAAACAACAGUUUUAAAUAUUUAUAAAGACAUCAAGGGGUCCCAGUCAGAAAGUACUCCUGCUUAUAUGACGCAGUUAAUUAAUAAAACUGCAGAAAUUGCAGGUAAAGAUUGCAGGGAUUUUAUUAUAAUAAAUAAAUGUAUUUGAAAAUAGCAUGCUUUGUGAGGAUGAAUAACAUACACUAUUAAUCGUUUUACAGGCAUAUCUCGUGCAACAGUGUAUAAUAUCCUCAAAGAGUACAAUACAGAAGGUCGCCUGCAAUCACCUCCUCCUCGCCAACGGAAAUAUUCAAAAUCGGAUGAAUAUGAUGAUAUAAUAUUAAGUGGAAUACGAAGGAAAAUUCAUUCUUUUUUCUUUGAUAAUGAAUUACCGACAUUGGAUAAGAUUCUGGAAGCCGUGAAUAGUGAUGAGUCUCUACCCGAUUUUAAAAGAAGCUCUUUAUAUAAUUUAAUCAAAAACAAAUUAAAAUUUACAUAUAUUAAAAGAAGUAGAAGAAGUGCCCUAAUCGACAGACAGGAGAUUGUAUUAUGGAGGGUGAAAUAUCUCCAUGAAAUUAAGAGAUUAAGGAAUGAAGGAAAAAAAAUAUAUUAUUUAGAUGAGACUUGGCUAAAUGAAGAUAUAGUGCUGCUAAUAUUUGUGAAGUCUGGAAGAAGGGGGUUUUACAUAACUCGGACACACAAAAAGCAAAGUAUGGCAAGACAGUACUGUUAAGUCUUCAAAGGAAGCACACCGAGCAGGCUUAUCAACUGGUUUAAAGAACCCAACUGGAAAAGGAAAACGGCUUAUCAUUGGCCAUAUUGGAUCAACAGAUGGGUUUUUAAUGAAUGGUGAAUUAAUAUUUGAAGCCAAAAAGGGAGAUGGAGACUA